GAUGAAGAACGUAGCGAAAUGCGAUAAGUAAUGUGAAUUGCAGAAUUCAGUGAAUCAUCGAAUAUUUGAACGCACAUUGCGCCCGCCAGUAUUCUGGCGGGCAUGCCUGUUCGAGCGUCAUUUCAACCAUCAAGCCCCGGGCUUGUGUUGGGGACCUGCGGCUGCCGCAGGCCCUGAAAAGCAGUGGCGGGCUCGCUGUCACACCGAGCGUAGUAGCAUACAUCUCGCUCUGGGCGUGCUGCGGGUUCCGGCCGUUAAACCACCUUUUAACCCAAGGUUGACCUCGGAUCAGGUAGGAAGACCCGCUGAACUUAAGCAUAUCAAUAAGCGGAGGA
This 335-nucleotide unclassified non-coding RNA is filed under the name soil metagenome. RNAcentral describes it as "partial contains 5.8S ribosomal RNA, internal transcribed spacer 2, and large subunit ribosomal RNA". The stretch from base 1 to 120 matches the Rfam family "5.8S ribosomal RNA", at positions 35 to 154 of the family's 154-position model. The record is from RNAcentral.